RNAcentral lists this transfer RNA (85 nucleotides) under Gymnopilus junonius. Its description in RNAcentral is "tRNA-Asp". It matches the Rfam family "tRNA". Rfam says of the family: Transfer RNA (tRNA) molecules are approximately 80 nucleotides in length. Their secondary structure includes four short double-helical elements and three loops (D, anti-codon, and T loops). Lineage: Eukaryota; Fungi; Basidiomycota; Agaricomycetes; Agaricales; Galerinaceae. The record is from RNAcentral.
UCUCUGUUAGUAUAUCGGUUAGUACACGCGCCUGUCAAUAGCUUACCGAUCGCGCGAAAGCUGGGUUCGACUCCCAGACAGAGAG